This 812-nucleotide ribosomal RNA is filed under the name uncultured Pseudomonas sp. RNAcentral's name for it is "bacterial SSU rRNA". It matches the Rfam family "Bacterial small subunit ribosomal RNA", at positions 61 to 868 of the family's 1533-position model. Lineage: Bacteria; Pseudomonadati; Pseudomonadota; Gammaproteobacteria; Pseudomonadales; Pseudomonadaceae. The record is from RNAcentral.
GUCGAGCGGAUGAAUGGAGCUUGCUCCUGGAUUCAGCGGCGGACGGGUGAGUAAUGCCUAGGAGUCUGCCUGGUAGUGGGGGAUAACGUCCGGAAACGGGCGCUAAUACCGCAUACGUCCUGAGGGAGAAAGUGGGGGAUCUUCGGACCUCACGCUAUCAGAUGAGCCUAGGUCGGAUUAGCUAGUUGGUGGGGUAAAGGCCUACCAAGGCGACGAUCCGUAACUGGUCUGAGAGGAUGAUCAGUCACAUUGGAACUGAGACACGGUCCAGACUCCUACGGGAGGCAGCAGUGGGGAAUAUUGGACAAUGGGCGAAAGCCUGAUCCAGCCAUGCCGCGUGUGUGAAGAAGGUCUUCGGAUUGUAAAGCACUUUAAGUUGGGAGGAAGGGCAGUAAGUUAAUACCUUGCUGUUUUGACGUUACCAACAGAAUAAGCACCGGCUAACUUCGUGCCAGCAGCCGCGGUAAUACGAAGGGUGCAAGCGUUAAUCGGAAUUACUGGGCGUAAAGCGCGCGUAGGUGGUUCAGCAAGUUGGACGUGAAAUCCCCGGGCUCAACCUGGGAACUGCAUCCAAAACUACUGAGCUAGAGUACGGUAGAGGGUGGUGGAAUUUCCUGUGUAGCGGUGAAAUGCGUAGAUAUAGGAAGGAACACCAGUGGCGAAGGCGACCACCUGGACUGAUACUGACACUGAGGUGCGAAAGCGUGGGGAGCAAACAGGAUUAGAUACCCUGGUAGUCCACGCCGUAAACGAUGUCGACUAGCCGUUGGGAUCCUUGAGAUCUUAGUGGCGCAGCUAACGCGAUAAGUCGA